This 334-nucleotide ribosomal RNA is filed under the name uncultured bacterium. RNAcentral's name for it is "bacterial SSU rRNA". It matches the Rfam family "Bacterial small subunit ribosomal RNA", at positions 8 to 334 of the family's 1533-position model. The record is from RNAcentral.
AGGGUUUGAUUCUGGCUCAGGAUGAACGCUAGCUACAGGCUUAACACAUGCAAGUCGAGGGGCAGCAUCAUCAAAGCUUGCUUUGAUGGAUGGCGACCGGCGCACGGGUGAGUAACACGUAUCCAACCUGCCGACAACUCUGGGAUAGCCUUUCGAAAGAAAGAUUAAUACCGGAUGGCAUAGUCUUCCCGCAUGGGAUGACUAUUAAAGAAUUUCGGUUGUCGAUGGGGAUGCGUUCCAUUAGGCAGUUGGCGGGGUAACGGCCCACCUAGUCUUCGAUGGAUAGGGGUUCUGAGAGGAAGGUCCCCCACAUUGGAACUGAGACACGGUCCAA